Molecule: long non-coding RNA, 724 nt
Filed under: Struthio camelus australis
Lineage: Eukaryota; Metazoa; Chordata; Aves; Struthioniformes; Struthionidae
Description: lncRNA (ENSSCUG00000001153.1)
Source: RNAcentral
AGGCACCGGCUCUGCGAGCGGCGCACCGGUUCCCCCGGCCCCGCCAGCCCCUAAGUGCUGCUGGAGCUGAAAUUGGGCAGCGCUGGCCAAGGCUACUCAGUAACAGCCUUGAUCAUAAAUGAUUAACUGCACACCAGGAGAAUAAGAGCUGGGUCUUUCCAGGCGCAGCCUUUUAUCCCUGGUAUCCUCGCAGCCAAACACGCUGAGCCAGCGUUGCGUUUGGUCAUGAAAUGUUGCCUUACGCUUCUGCGCGGGCUGUGAAAUGCUGCUGUGUGUGCUGACAUACUACAAGGUAGGGACGAAGGUUGCUGUGCCCUAGCUACUGUUUCUGCACCAACUCAUUCGUUUGUGGAUUUAUUUUAUCAGCACCAAGAUAAAAGACCGUUGUCUUUGCAGGAGAUAUCGCCUCUUGGAGAGGAUAGAAAAAUAAGAACAGAAACUGGAGUCAUUUACAGUGGUGAGAACUUUUAUAUUUCUCUUUGCUAAUCAUUAUGUGACUGGCAUGUGACGAAGUAAGCUUGGAAACUCGUAAGUCACACUUUCAACCUUUCCUUUACAACAGAGCUCAUUGCUGAGCUGUCUUGCUAAAGCUGAUCAGUGUCACAUGCUACAGUGAUUGCAGGAAAAAGUGACAAAUGCAACAAUUGAGAAAAUAGUGCUUUCCAAAUUCCUUAUCCUGCAUCUUUGUCAUCUUACAAAGACCAAAGAGAUUAGUGGAUAAUUG